CCUACGGGAGGCAGCAGUGAGGAAUAUUGGACAAUGGGCGCAAGCCUGAUCCAGCCAUGCCGCGUGCAGGAAGAAGCAUCUAUGGUGUGUAAACUGCUUUUGUACGGGAAGAAACACCUCUACGUGUAGAGGCUUGACGGUACCGUAAGAAUAAGGAUCGGCUAACUCCGUGCCAGCAGCCGCGGUAAUACGGAGGAUCCAAGCGUUAUCCGGAAUCAUUGGGUUUAAAGGGUCCGUAGGCGGUUUGAUAAGUCAGUGGUGAAAGCCCAUCGCUCAACGAUGGAACGGCCAUUGAUACUGUCAGACUUGAAUUACUAGGAAGUAACUAGAAUAUGUAGUGUAGCGGUGAAAUGCUUAGAUAUUACAUGGAAUACCAAUUGCGAAGGCAGGUUACUACUAGUGGAUUGACGCUGAUGGACGAAAGCGUGGGGAGCGAACAGGAUUAGAUACCCUGGUAGUCCACGCCGUAAACGAUGGAUACUAGCUGUUGGGAGCAAUCUCAGUGGCUAAGCGAAAAGUGAUAAGUAUCCCACCUGGGGAGUACGUUCGCAAAGAAUUGAAAACUUAAAGGAAUUGACGG
Molecule: ribosomal RNA, 580 nt
Filed under: uncultured bacterium
Lineage: Bacteria
Description: bacterial SSU rRNA
Rfam family: Bacterial small subunit ribosomal RNA
Source: RNAcentral